GCCGGGAUAGCUCAGUCGGUAG
RNAcentral lists this transfer RNA (22 nucleotides) under Heterocladium macounii. RNAcentral describes it as "partial transfer RNA-Phe". RNAcentral also lists the same sequence under 1 other name. The record is from RNAcentral. Lineage: Eukaryota; Viridiplantae; Streptophyta; Bryopsida; Hypnales; Pterigynandraceae.